GCUAUAGGAUAUCCACCAUCACAAAAACUCCAAAUACUUCUUCUCAAGAACAAACCCAACAAGUUCAAUCAUUAUGCAAGCAAGUCAAUUAUCUCGAUCUAACCUACAUAAUCGCUUAGUCACAGGGAGAAAAUCCAGGCAGUAGAUGAAAUCAAGGUUCUAUCUCACAUACUCACUCACCAAGAUAACAAUAAAGAGAAAAUAAGAGGAAGGGGAGGUCUAGGGUUUGCAUUGGAGUUCAUAGUGAGCGG
Molecule: unclassified non-coding RNA, 251 nt
Filed under: Hevea brasiliensis (rubber tree)
Lineage: Eukaryota; Viridiplantae; Streptophyta; Magnoliopsida; Malpighiales; Euphorbiaceae
Source: RNAcentral